AGUGAACGCUGGCGGUAGGCCUAACACAUGCAAGUCGAACGGCAGCACAGUAAGAGCUUGCCCUUACGGGUGGCGAGUGGCGGACGGGUGAGGAAUACAUCGGAAUCUACUUUUUCGUGGGGGAUAACGUAGGGAAACUUACGCUAAUACCGCAUACGACCUACGGGUGAAAGCAGGGGAUCUUCGGACCUUGCGCGAUUGAAUGAGCCGAUGUCGGAUUAGCUAGUUGGCGGGGUAAAGGCCCACCAAGGCGACGAUCCGUAGCUGGUCUGAGAGGAUGAUCAGCCACACUGGAACUGAGACACGGUCCAGACUCCUACGGGAGGCAGCAGUGGGGAAUAUUGGACAAUGGGCGCAAGCCUGAUCCAGCCAUACCGCGUGGGUGAAGAAGGCCUUCGGGUUGUAAAGCCCUUUUGUUGGGAAAGAAAAGCAGCAGGUUAAUACCCCGCUGUUCUGACGGUACCCAAAGAAUAAGCACCGGCUAACCUCGUG
Molecule: ribosomal RNA, 492 nt
Filed under: uncultured bacterium
Lineage: Bacteria
Description: partial 16S ribosomal RNA
Rfam family: Bacterial small subunit ribosomal RNA
Source: RNAcentral